AGUGAACGCUGGCGGUAGGCCUAACACAUGCAAGUCGAACGGCAGCACAGUAAGAGCUUGCUCUUACGGGUGGCGAGUGGCGGACGGGUGAGGAAUACAUCGGAAUCUACUUUUUCGUGGGGGAUAACGUAGGGAAACUUACGCUAAUACCGCAUACGACCUACGGGUGAAAGCAGGGGAUCUUCGGCCCUUGCGCGAUUGAAUGAGCCGAUGUCGGAUUAGCUAGUUGGCGGGGUAAAGGCCCACCAAGGCGACGAUCCGUAGCUGGUCUGAGAGGAUGAUCAGCCACACUGGAACGGAGACACCGUCCAGACUCCUACGGGAGGCAGCAGUGGGGAAUAUUGGACAAUGGGCGCAAGCCUGAUCCAGCCAUACCGCGUGGGUGAAGAAGGCCUUCGGGUUGUAAAGCCCUUUUGUUGGGAAAGAAAAGCAGCAGGUUAAUACCCCGCUGUUCUGACGGUACCCAAAGAAUAAGCACCGGCUAACUUCGUG
This 492-nucleotide ribosomal RNA is filed under the name uncultured bacterium. Its description in RNAcentral is "partial 16S ribosomal RNA". It matches the Rfam family "Bacterial small subunit ribosomal RNA", at positions 29 to 507 of the family's 1533-position model. The record is from RNAcentral.